This 253-nucleotide ribosomal RNA is filed under the name uncultured bacterium. RNAcentral's name for it is "partial 16S ribosomal RNA". It matches the Rfam family "Bacterial small subunit ribosomal RNA", at positions 524 to 776 of the family's 1533-position model. The record is from RNAcentral.
UACGUAGGGUCCGAGCGUUGUCCGGAAUUACUGGGCGUAAAGAGCUCGUAGAUGGUUUGUCGCGUUGUUCGUGAAAACUCACAGCUCAACUGUGGGCGUGCGGGCGAUACGGGCAGACUAGAGUACUGCAGGGGAGACUGGAAUUCCUGGUGUAGCGGUGGAAUGCGCAGAUAUCAGGAGGAACACCGGUGGCGAAGGCGGGUCUCUGGGCAGUAACUGACGCUGAGGAGCGAAAGCGUGGGGAGCGAACAGG